UUCUGUGAAGCCGGCCUGUGAGGGAUCCGGUGGAGAGAUCACUAGUGAGAAUGAUGACAUGAGUAGCGACAAAGAGUGUGAGAGACACUCUCGCCGAAAGUCCAAGGGUUCCUGCUUAAAGCUAAUCUGAGCAGGGUAAGCCGACCCCUAAGGCGAGGCCGAAAGGCGUAGUCGAUGGGAACCAGGUUAAUAUUCCUGGGCCAGGAGGAUGUGACGGAUCGCAGAGGUUGUUCGCCCUUAUCGGAUUGGGCGGGCCGCUGAGCGGUUCCUGGAAAUAGCCCUCCAUGAGAUCGUACCCUAAACCGACACAGGUGGACAGGUAGAGAAUACCAAGGCGCUUGAGAGAACGAUGUUGAAGGAACUCGGCAAAAUACCUCCGUAAGUUCGCGAGAAGGAGGCCCGUUCAGAAGGCAACUUUUGGGCGGGGGCACAAACCAGGGGGUGGCGACUGUUUACUAAAAACACAGGGCUCUGCGAAGUCGCAAGACGACGUAUAGGGUCUGACGCCUGCCCGGUGCCUGAAGGUUAAAAGGAGGGGUGAGAGCUCUGAAUUGAAGCCCAGGUAAACGGCGGCCGUAACGAUAACGGUCCUAAGGUAGCGAAAUUCCUUGUCGGGUAAGUUCCGACCU
RNAcentral lists this ribosomal RNA (629 nucleotides) under Heterosigma akashiwo. Its description in RNAcentral is "partial Bacterial large subunit ribosomal RNA". It matches the Rfam family "Bacterial large subunit ribosomal RNA", at positions 1246 to 1989 of the family's 2925-position model. The record is from RNAcentral. Lineage: Eukaryota; Raphidophyceae; Chattonellales; Chattonellaceae.